This 251-nucleotide ribosomal RNA is filed under the name uncultured bacterium. Its description in RNAcentral is "partial 16S ribosomal RNA". It matches the Rfam family "Bacterial small subunit ribosomal RNA", at positions 524 to 776 of the family's 1533-position model. The record is from RNAcentral.
UACGUAGGGUGCAAGCGUUAAUCGGAAUACUGGGCGUAAAGCGUGCGCAGGCGGUUAUGUAAGACAGGUGUGAAAUCCCCGGCUUAACCUGGGAACUGCAUUUGUGACUGCAUAGCUAGAGUACGGUAGAGGGGGAUGGAAUUCCGCGUGUAGCAGUGAAAUGCGUAGAUAUGCGGAGGAACACCGAUGGCGAAGGCAAUCCCCUGGACCUGUACUGACGCUCAUGCACGAAAGCGUGGGGAGCAAACAGG